CUUUUAAAGAGGGUAAGGGUAGAGUUGCAUAUAUAGGGUUUAAAGCUUAGUUUUUGAUGUUUUAAUGGUGUAAGCAUGAUUAUGUGUAUGUUUGUUGUUUGUGUUGGGGGUGUUAGGUAGUUUUAGACCCCUUUGAACAUAUACUUAAGUAUAUGUGAGUUGAGGGAGGAGUUAUGCAUGUUGACGGAGGGAGGUUGCCGUCGGGGCUGAGUUCUGGAUGAACUCAGGUUCGGCAGCCGAAGGAGGAUUCGGCCGCCGAACAUGCCAGACUUUCGUCUCUGGAGGAGACAUUCGGCCGCCGAAGGUGCAGCCGAAGGUGCCCUGUCCAGCCUUCCUUUGCUUGUUUUGCAUGCAUGUUUUGAGAUGUUCUAGAGGGGUUUUGGGGAUUUGUUUAUCAGUUGUAUAGAGUUUUUUUGGUACCUCAUUUGCGUCCUCCAUUGUAGGAUUGGACCCAAGGAACCGAGGUGUUUAGCAGGAGUAGCUGCUUCAGAGUUAGAGGUAGCCCAAAGUUAGCCAAGCAGAGGCUACAGGUGAGUGGAACUAAACUUAAUAUUUUAUCUUGAGAAAUGACACGGUUCUAGCAUGAUUCAUGCAUCAUAAACUGCCAUGUUAUGUAUUAGGGUGUGUUGCAUUAGAAUUCACGAAUAUGAUGCAUUGCAUAAGAUGUUGUUCCUAUGGAUGAAUGUUGGAUGAUCUUUAGCGCUUGAUAGAGAUCAGAUACAGAGUUAUGGCAUGAGAUAGCCAUACCAGGUCGCCCCUGGAUAGGCCAGGUCGCUCCUGGUACUAUGGACAGAGCAGAGUUAAGAGUAGACCAGGUGAUGACAUAGUCUCCUUGGCACAGUUGGUCAUGUUAUGAUAUCAGAGAUAAGAGUAGACCAGGUGAUGACAUAGUCUCCUUGGCACAGUUGGUCAUGUUAUGAUAUCAGAGAUAAGAGUAGACUAGGUGAUGACAUAGUCUCCUUGGCACAGUUGGUCAGAUUAUAAUAUGUAGUAGAGGGCUAUUGGUGACAAAUUCAUCCGUUAGAUGAUAUGUUUGUGAUGUGAUGCAUUUCAUGAAAACAUGUAAUUAAUGAAUGGUGUUAUUGUUCCUCCUCACUGGGCUCUAGAGCUCAUCCCACUCCCUUAAUCCCAGUUUUGCAGGUCCUGAGAUAGCUAUAGGAAGUCAAAGUCAGCAAGAGUACAGAGGAAAGUUAUGCAUGAAUGUAUGUUGUAAUAGUAUAGUGGACAUGAUGUAAUUAAAAGAUUAGUUGUAAUGUAAUGUAUAGAUAUGUACUGUCGUAUACUGGAUAGACUUGUGCUUUCCCUAGUGUCUUUGCUAUUGUAUGAUGUAUGAUUACUCCCUUGGUACAUGACUCCUGUUUUACGUUUCUUGAUGAGAAAUGUGUGUCUUAGGCUUAAUGUAUGGCUUUGAUGUGAUACCAGUGGGACGUGUUACAGAUUAAAAGGGUUCAAUCCCUUGACCCACAGCAGAUAGUAGUCCCUGGUAUAGGCCCUGAGGGCCAUUUCAGAUUGACAUAUCUUAGUAGCAGUAGUUAAGCCUACAGAGUUUUACAGGAUUGCUGAGUGGCUUUGUAUCAUGUAUGGGAUUUAUCAGGUACACAGAGAGUAUAGUUGGCUGACUACGGGUCCCGGCGGUCUUAAGCCGAUCUGGAUCCUAGUGCCAGUGAUGGUUCGGACCGUUACUAAGGGGUACCAGUUUCCGGGUCGUUACAGAUUGGUUUCAGAGCAUAGGGCCUCAAGAGUACGAUGUGUUGAGCAAAGAUGCUCACGGACUAGAGAUAUCCCACAUCGGAAAGAGGUGUUGUCUUGUAUAGGAAGGGAAGUACAAUAGGUAAAAUCAUGUCCACUAGGAUAGGAUGUGGAGUCCUGUCUUGCAUGCUGCUGUGAAAUGCCAUGAUGAGAUGAUGCAUGUGCAUUAUUGAUAUGUUUGAUAUGUGCUGAGGAUUCAUGUGUUCUCACAUGGAUCAUUUGCUGAUUUUUUUUUUGUGUGAUGUUGUGCCUUUCAAAGGCAGGAUGAGAGGAACUCAUCGAUCUGUUAGAUUGAAUGGAGCUCCACCAGAGGAUGAGGACAUGGAUGCUCACCUCCCCGUUCUGCAAAGGGCAACAUCAGAUAGCUUAAGCAGAGAAGGUACAUCAAGGGACCCUAGAAGGUCUGUUGAUGAGAGUAGAAGGGGAGUUGUUCAGAGUGGUAUGUCGUGGUUUAUGAGAGAAAGAGAGGAGGAUGAGCAGAGUAGAGACGGGAGCUUUGGCAUGAGCAGGUUAGGAGGAGAUAUGGGUGAGUCCCAAGGAGGCACUCAGGCCUCGAGAUUUGUUCCACCUCAGUAUCCACCCUACCCGUGGGGGGCAGAGUACCUGAUGGGGGGUACAUCGGAGUGUCCUAGGUAUAACCCAUAUCCCACCUUUAUGCCCUAUCCUUCCUUUUACCCGCCAUAUCCACCAUCAUAUUCACAGUAUACCAUGUUUCCACCCUUCUUUUGUUACCCAGGUUCAGUAAACCCGACCCCAGGGAAUGUUGCACCUCCUCCACCACCAGUAGAAUCAGUAGCCCCAGUUGUCCAAACACCCAAGCCUAGUUCACCUGGAGGAAGUAUGGUGCAGAUAACAGACUCUUUGAGGUUGGAUGUUCCCACAUUUGAGACUGGUGAUGACCCUGUUGAGUAUCUUAGAAUGGUCAAGAUGAUAGCUGAUGAGUUGGGAGUCAGUGAGAGUAAAGCCAUUCAGAUGGCAGGGGUCACAUUGAAAUGUGAGAAGGCAAGGGAAUGGUUCACCCAGUAUGUGGACCCGAGGGUAGAAAGCUUAUCCUGGGAGCAGUUUGCUACAGAGUUUACAGGAUGGGCUUGUCCAGAUAGUUCAAGGGAGUGUAAAGAGGGUGAAUUUGCGCAGCUAGAGCAAACAGAAAACAUGAGUGUAGAAACUUACCCAGAGAACAGUGAUCGUUUCCCUUUGGGUGAGGCUGCUGCAAAGAAUAAAAAGAAAGUGAGAGGCCUGAAAGGGUCAAAGAAAAAAGAGUUCUGGAAUAGGGUAAAGUUUAGUAUGGGUUUUUGCGAGGGUUCGAGUUCUGGUUGGGAUAGUUCUAGCUGUGCGAGGUGCAGUAGGAGGCACAAAGGAGUCUGUUGGGCUGGGACAAUAGCAUGUUUUAGGUGCGGACAGAAGGGGCACAUGGCACGAGAGUGUCCCACUAUGACUGUAUCAGCAUAGUUCCCGCAGACAUCCUCAGACAAUAGAAGUCCACCAGAAGCUCCAGCCUCGGUGCAGGGCAAAGAUGUGGAAGUCCGUUAGUUCCGGCUCAGAUUUUCACCCAGGAUCAGCCAGAGACAGACACACCGAACACAGUGGUGCCAGGUAAGCUCACUUUUGAGUGUUCUGAUGUGUAUGGUUUUCUGGACACUAGUAGAAUAUCAGUUGAUGUGAAAAUAGUAAAGUGUAAUAAAGUUAGAUGGUCAGAGAUAAAGAUUUAGAGACGAGUGAGUCGUUAAAGGGUAGUGAGCCAGAAAAGAGCUCGAGAGCUAUAGCCGUGGAUUUGAAAUCUAGGUAGGGAGAGAGUGAUCUCUCAUCUCUGAGUGUAGACCUCAAAUAAAGAAAUAAGGCAAAGAAUAGUGUACAAAUGUGAAGAGUAAGAAAAAGAAUCAAAGUAAGCAAAGAGAAGAGUAAAUAAGGUAGAAUCGAGCAGAGAAGGAAGAGAAUAGAAUACAUGUAAAGUUAGUAUAAGGUUAGACAGAGAUUUCAGUUUAGUCUGGGAUUAGAUGGCAAGUGAGCUCUAGUUUAGAUAGUUUUGGAUACGGGAGGCGUGGAGUGUACACAAAAGGAGUUUGUUGGCAUGGGACUACGGCAUGUAUAGAUGCGAGCAGGAAGGACUCAUCUUGUGUGUGAGUGUCCUACUGCGGCCCUGAUUGGCACAGUCCCAGCAGAUGACUUCUCGUAGUAUAACUCAGCCUAUAGCUCUAGCCAUGUUUCAGGACAGUGGUUGAGGCAGGAGGAGAGAGUUCUCCUUUUCUUGGGUUGGUUCCCGAGGGAAGAUUCAUUAGCUUUAGCUUGGCUCUUCAUCCUAACUCAGUCAGAGGCUAACACCAUCGAACACGGUGACGUCAGAUACAGUCACUUGAGGGUGUUCAGAUGUGUAGGUUAUAGUGGACCCUGAUGUUUCUUUCCCUGUUGUUUUGAGAGCCGUAGAUAGAGGGGGGUUUGAUAACUUCUGGGCUUAGAGUGAUCUCUUUGGGUUGGUAGACCCGAGUGUGAUCCAUCUGUGGCAGAGUCAGUCAGUCAGUUCAGUUCAGAGUUCGUUGUGAGUAGAUGCGAUCCAGCUGACCUUAUGGUUCUAGAGUUGACUAUGUGAUGUCAUUCUAGGGCGGAUUGGCUAGCUACUCAUAGUAUUACAUGUGUCUGCAAAGACAAGGUAAGAAAGUAUAGAUUGUAAGAUGGAUCAGAGGCAGUCCUUAGGGGGGACAGUAUAGUAUACCCAGAAGUUUGAUAUCAGCCCUACAGGCUCGUGAAGUCUUGAGGAACGGUAGUCAGGGAUUUCUUGCUCUUGUUCGAGAGCAUAAUAGCCAGGUCAGGGAACCAGCCUCAGUACUCAUAGACAGAAAAAGAGAAAGAGUGUUAUAUGUUAUCCCAGACAAGCUAGCAGGUUUACCAUUGGUAAAAACCAAUAGAGUCUGGAAGUCAAGUGAGGAUGGAGACUAGACUCAUCUUCACCUCUUCCUUCAAAAUGGUACCUGUAGCAUGUAAGAGGUGAAAAAGUUGUAAAAACUAGAAAAGCAGUUGCAUAAGUGAGAACGAUAGUAGAGCAGUGUGAACUUGGUAGCAAAGGAUUCUAUCCGACUUAGUACUACACCCUGGAAUAUUCCAGUGUCGUUGUGAGAAACGAAGGAUGAAACCUUGAGAGUUUGUCACAACUGUGAAUAGUUGCACCACAUCACUACCAAGAACAGGUGUUCCCAUGCAGAAUGAAUGAUCGAUAGGACCAACUAGAAGCUGGUUGUUUUCCAUAAUAGAUCUGAGAGUUGGGACCUAUAUGUCAAAAGUUAGAGAAAAGUCAGUGUAGCAGUUGAGUCGAGAUGAGAUCUUUAUUAUAGUGCAGCGUCUAACCCAGAGGUAAGGGGUAAAACUGCUCAGCGACUCUGAGUAUACAAGACAGUAUUUACUGGGUAAGGCAGAUGAGAUGUUAGCUGCCCUCAGUCAGAAGUCGCUUAUCAGUUUAUCCUAUCGAAACAGAUAGCUAGAGAGCUAAAGAGCUAGAGAGCUAGAGAUAGUCCAGUGUAGUUAGAAGGGAUCAAAAGAGAAGAAGCCAGUAUAGUAAAGAAGAAGAAAGGCGGGCAAGGAUCAGAGUACGCAGCAAAAGCGUAGAAUAGUUCAGAAAAAUAGAGAAGCAUGCCCAUUAUCUACUGAGUGUUGUAGAUUGUAAGAGAACACGAUAUAGAGGCCAAGUUCUAUCAUACGAGUUCGAUUUGAGGGCAUGUCUGUUUGAACCUAAAGUAAGAAGAGAAUUGAAGCUAUAGGCAAGUUAUUGCUCCUCUGACCGGGUUAAGUAAAGAGAAGCAAAAGUUAGUGUGACCAGAGUAGUGUGAAUCAAGCUGAGAAGAGUCAAAGAAAAAGGAAAGUCAGUAGUCAGAUGAAAGAUUCACGUCAGUUGUUGUGUACUGACAGAAGUGAUAAGUAGGGAAACGUCAAUAGAGUCAGGAAGCGUAGACAACCCGGGAGUUUUACUCCAGUGGUAUCCGUGUCUCUUCUCAGAGGAAGGUGUUAGACUUUCCUUAAUUGCUUGUUUGCAUAUAUGUUUAUUGUUGUUUUAAACAUUCGAGGACGAAUGUGCUUAAAGGGGGCAAGAAUGUAAUACCCGGCUAGAUUCAGACAUCGGAAUUUCUACUAUCCGGUGGAAUUCGAGGAUGUCAGAGGUCUCUGGAAGGGUAAGAGAAAAUUUUCUAAAAUGAUUUCAAGUGUUUUAAAGGUUUAGAGUGAAAAAGGAUUGAGUUUUGAAGAGAAAAGGCCAAGGAGGCAUUCUGCCAUGUUCGGCCGCCGAAGGUAAAGUUCGGCCGCCGAAAGUGCCCAAUGUUCGGCCCCCGAAUGUUGCAUGGUUUUGCAUGCGAUUCGGCAGCCGAAGUUGAGUUGGUCAGCCAGCUAUUAUGCACUCCUCCGUCGGUGAAAUGGCCAGGUGUCGAUUUGGCAUCACAGACAGAGGAUUAGGCCACGUCUCUCAUGACUCAUCUGCAGGGUGUUAUCACACCAUGCACAAGUGUGGUGUUUGUCAAGUGAGGUUGAAGGUUUUGGGUCAAAAGGAGAGGGUUGGUGGUUUGGAGCUUGGGAAGAGGUGUUGGUCCAUAGAUCAGCUUUCAGGUUGUUCCUCUUCUGGUGUUAGAAGGUAAGGGAAGGUUUUGAACUUCUUUUACUGAUUUAUAUAGCUUUUAAAGAGGGUAAGGGUAGAGUUGCAUAUAUAGGGUUUAAAGCUUAGUUUUUGAUGUUUUAAUGGUGUAAGCAUGAUUAUGUGUAUGUUUGUUGUUUGUGUUGGGGGUGUUAGGUAGUUUUAGACCCCUUUGAACAUAUACUUAAGUAUAUGUGAGUUGAGGGAGGAGUUAUGCAUGUUGACGGAGGGAGGUUGCCGUCGGGGCUGAGUUCUGGAUGAACUCAGGUUCGGCAGC
RNAcentral lists this long non-coding RNA (6632 nucleotides) under Manihot esculenta (cassava). RNAcentral's name for it is "long non-coding RNA (MESC_LNC000961)". Lineage: Eukaryota; Viridiplantae; Streptophyta; Magnoliopsida; Malpighiales; Euphorbiaceae. The record is from RNAcentral.